ACUAUGCUACUACAGGGAUAACUGUAGUAAUUCUAGAGCUAAUACGUGCCUCGAGGCCCUGAUCCGCAAGGUGAGGGGUGCACUUAUUAGUCUGCAAACCAAACGAUUCGUCGUUGUUUGUGGUGACUCUGGAUAACUUUGUAUGAUCGCAGCUGGCCCUCGUGCCGGCGACGGAUCCAUCAAAUAUCUGCCCUAUCAACUUACGAUGGUAGGUGAUAUGCCUACCAUGGUUAUGACGGGUAACGGGGAAUCAGGGUUCGAUUCCGGAGAGGGAGCCUGAGAAACGGCUACCACAUCCAAGGAAGGCAGCAGGCGCGUAAAUUACCCACUCUCUGAACGAGGAGGUAGUGAAGAUAAAUAUCGAUACAGAACUCAUUUGAGGCUCUGUAAUCGAAAUGAGUGCAAUAUAAAUCCUACAACGAGGAUCUAUUGGAGGGCAAGUCUGGUGCCAGCAGCCGCGGUAACUCCAGCUCCAAUAGCGUAUAUUAAAGUUGCUGCAGUUAAAAAGCUCGUAGUUGGAUCUGGGCCAUCUAGUGAUAGCUAUCUGGUUGCGGUUUGCUAACGCUUAUCGUGGCUAGUUGGUAUUCGCUGGUGGCUUCGUAGCUAUGUUCACUUGAUUUCGGUCUUGUGAAUGAUAUUGGGUGUCUGUGUUUGCUCCUUCACGGGGGUGAAUGCGGCUCAGUAUUAUGUUCUGUUGAUGCCCUUAACCGGGUGUCCGGAGCUCAUAGCACGUUUACUUUGAACAAAUUUGAGUGCUCAAAGCAGGCCGUUUGUUGCCUGAAGAUUCUUGCAUGGAUAUGGGGAAAUUAGGAA
RNAcentral lists this ribosomal RNA (813 nucleotides) under Hamatopeduncularia malaccensis. RNAcentral describes it as "SSU rRNA". It matches the Rfam family "Eukaryotic small subunit ribosomal RNA", at positions 126 to 829 of the family's 1831-position model. Lineage: Eukaryota; Metazoa; Platyhelminthes; Monogenea; Dactylogyridea; Ancylodiscoididae. The record is from RNAcentral.